Molecule: long non-coding RNA, 1298 nt
Filed under: Marmota monax (woodchuck)
Lineage: Eukaryota; Metazoa; Chordata; Mammalia; Rodentia; Sciuridae
Source: RNAcentral
GUGGCUGGGUAGAAGCGCGGCAUACCUCCUGCCAGCUCAUUCCUAACACGUUCCUCUCUUUGUUCUGUUGUAGUACAAGAUAUAAUUCACUGGGUGUCUGUGAUGUGCCAGGCACUGUCUAUCCUAAGCACUCGCCAGCACCACCUUGUUAAACCCUGUGGCCUAUGUGUGAGAACCCCCGUGUUCCAGGUGAGAAGAUGAGGCAGGGGCGGAGCAGCUAGCCCAGGUCACGCAGGAGCUGGUGCCGCAGCUGACUCCUGUCCACCCUGGAUCUCACAAUUCUCCUUCCCCGAGGACCAUUCACUCUAGCAGGAAUACCUCCUGCUGUGCCAAGUACCUGUUACCACUCGCCUUGACCACCUGUGGGACAUGAGCCAGCCCUGGACCUCAGUCACAGCAGAGACCCCACCCUGGCAGCUCCGUGCGCCUUGUUUGUGUUGGUGAGCUAUGUCUCUCGCAGCAGCCCAGGCGGAGAUCUGGGGCGAGGCGGAGCCUGUUCAGGUUGCGUUGGCACAGCCUCCAGAGAUGGGGGCUUGCAAGUUGCUUUUGAUGGACACGAUCAGACCCUGGUGCUGUGUCCCUCCUUUCCGGGCUCCUCCAGGGUCUGGCUUUGAGGCUUCCCAGAGUGCCAGGCCACGGCCCACUCAGGCGGCAGUUGCUAUGCAGUUCGGCCCCCUCCGGGGCUUAUAAACAGCACCCUCCUUACCGUAGUGCUGGCCGGAGACCCCGCAUUGUUUUCAAGUCUAGAUUGCGAGCCGCAGAGGAGUCCUGUGGGGGGCAGGUGGGGGACAGAAGGCAGAAGCCCCGGCAGCAGGUGGCAGGAGCCAAACUUCAUCUCUCCAGCCCUGCUCCUGCCCACCCCAUCUUCCAGCCCACUGGUCUUGGCCCAUGGGGAACACAGACAGGACUUUGCCCCUAAUCCCUUCAGAUUCUGGCUUUCUAUCUGGAAGGCAGAAGGGAACUUGGAUGCCAUGUUCAUCCUUGCAGGCCCCAUGGUCUGACCCUGUCCUCUCGCCUGUCCCCCUUGCUCUCAAGGCCCCUCCCAGCCCAGGCUGCUCUAUGUGGGACUCUACACUCAGCCCAGAUGCUGCCUGCACCCUCCCUGCUCACCCUCAGGCCUUACUUCCCCUAAAAGCCUUCUCGGCCACUGACCGCUCAAGGAGCCAGCCCGGCUCUCUGUCCUGUCCUGCCGCUCGGCUAUUUUGAGGCACUCAGCACAAUUAUGAUUACUUGUGUCCUUGGUUAUUUGAUUCAUUUGCCUAGCCUAUCCUCUCAGCACCCCAGUGGUCAGCUGCACA